GACGAACGUUGGCGGCGUGCUUAAUACAUGCAAGUCAACUGAAGCAGAGGUAGUAAUAUCUCUGUGGAGGUGGCGCACGGGUGAGUAACACGUAGGUAAUCUGCCUUCAGGUCUGACAUAACCCCGAGAAAUCGGGGCUAAUAGCAGAUGAUGCAGCGGCUUGACAUCAAGACAGUUGUUAAAGCUUCGGCGCCUGAAGAUGAGCCUGCGUCUGAUUAGCUAGUUGGCGGAGUAACAGCCCACCAAGGCUACGAUCAGUAGCUGGUCUGAGAGGAUGAUCAGCCACACUGGAACUGAGACACGGUCCAGACUCCUACGGGAGGCAGCAGUAAGGAAUAUUGCUCAAUGGGAGAAAUACCUGAAGCAGCAACG
Molecule: ribosomal RNA, 372 nt
Filed under: uncultured bacterium
Lineage: Bacteria
Description: bacterial SSU rRNA
Rfam family: Bacterial small subunit ribosomal RNA
Source: RNAcentral